This 392-nucleotide ribosomal RNA is filed under the name uncultured bacterium. RNAcentral's name for it is "partial 16S ribosomal RNA". It matches the Rfam family "Bacterial small subunit ribosomal RNA", at positions 523 to 918 of the family's 1533-position model. The record is from RNAcentral.
AUACGGAGGAUCCGAGCGUUAUCCGGAUUUAUUGGGCGUAAAGGGUUCGCAGGCGGUCUGAUAAGUCAGAUGUGAAAGGCAAUGGCUCAACCAUUGUAAGCAUUUGAAACUGUCAGACUUGAGUUAAGGAGAGGAAAGUGGAAUUCCUAGUGUAGCGGUGAAAUGCGUAGAUAUUAGGAGGAAUACCAGUGGCGAAGGCGACUUUCUGGACUUAUACUGACGCUGAGGAACGAAAGCGUGGGGAGCAAACAGGAUUAGAUACCCUGGUAGUCCACGCCGUAAACGAUGAGUGCUAGGUGUUGGGGGUCAAACCUCGGUGCCGCAGCUAACGCAUUAAGCACUCCGCCUGGGGAGUACGUACGCAAGUAUGAAACUCAAAUGAAUUGACGGGG